UGACAAUGAUCUGUGACAUUGUCAAGGUGACAGUUGUUAGUUGACAUACGAUUAUUUCUGAUGUUUGGUGGUCUUCAUUUUGUAUUGGCAAAAAUAUAUCUCCAACUCCUAUCUCUAAAGACGAUGAUAACCAUUGUGAAGAAUGACAUGCAAAGGCUAUUAGAACCACAUAUCAACAAUUUUCUGACCAUGACCAAGUGAUGAAUAUGAUAAAAGUCUACCUCAUGAAAGCCACACUACUUUUCAAAGAAAAAUAUUUUCUUUGGAGUUGUAGGUAUUAUAGUGAAAACUUAAUCUUGACUUCUGUUCUGCAUAAAUGAGAAUCGCACUAUGCCAGGUAACAUAAUGUAGCGAGUACCCUGGUUGAGUCAAGAUAAUAUAAGUGGAAAGAUAAUGUGGCCCAAGUAGUAAAGGAAAGGAUGUACAAACAGCCGAAUGUGAAUCUGGCAAUAAUGUGCCUGUUUAAAUGAGUUUUAGUUGAGUACCAAAUAGUUACCUAGGUUUUCCUGGGAGAAACACUGAUCCAGCCUUUCUGAUUCAACUGAGUUUUUGUAUGGUUUUGAAUAAAUAACUAAACAA
Molecule: long non-coding RNA, 579 nt
Filed under: Pectinophora gossypiella (pink bollworm)
Lineage: Eukaryota; Metazoa; Arthropoda; Insecta; Lepidoptera; Gelechiidae
Description: uncharacterized LOC126377273
Source: RNAcentral